Long non-coding RNA from Aquila chrysaetos chrysaetos, 7666 nucleotides. RefSeq lists it as uncharacterized. Lineage: Eukaryota; Metazoa; Chordata; Aves; Accipitriformes; Accipitridae. The transcript has 5 exons. The record is from RefSeq and is a predicted model, not a curated record.
GUCUGCUUUCUCUAGGGUUGCAGUUCCACCCCUUUCUCCCUCUCCUUUUCCUUGUGCUGGCACUGGCUUCUGCUUGACCCUUCCCCAAGGCAAUUGAGCUCGACGAGCUGAUGAAAAACUAGCUCAACAGUGACAGUGAGUAGUUUUCUGCUGGUUUUGUGAUCAGCACAGAGGAGGCUGAUGAGGCAGCCCAUGGCUGGGGCCACUGAUCUUCAGAUCCCUGGGGCUUCGGCUGGGCAGCGCUGGCUGCUCACGCCAGCAAGGUGCACGGGCCUUUGCCUCCCCUCGGCAAGUGUCCAUGCUCUGCCCCCCUCUUCAAACCUCGCAGCUCUUGGAGCACCUCCGUUGUAGGAGUGUUUUCUUUCACUGGGAUUGAACAAGCGUAUCGCUGUAUUACUUCUGCCUGGUAGGUGUUGGAAUCACAGCGCACUGAAAAUGAGACAGGUCAAUCAACCAGCUUGAGACAAUCUUAUCACGGAAAAGCCUGACCUGGAUGAUUAGAAUUUGCCUGUGUUACAGGCAACUGAAAAGAAGGUCCUAGAUAGAAACCGUGAGGCAACCUGAGCUGUAGAUACAGCCACCGAGCUGUAGUAAACUCUUCCCUCAUGCACAGAUGCUAGAGAUGCAGGUGAAAAUGCGGGUUCAGGAGGAACUCCCCACCCAGGUCUUCUGUAGGAAGUUAGUUUAGCCUUCAUUGCUCAACUGUGAGUCAAGGUCUUAAAUCAGCUUUCUUCAGUGAGGAAUCUGAGUUUGUGAACGGCCGACAGCCAGCACUGUGUGGAGGGAGCAGCCCUGCUGUGUCUGUGCCACCAGGCAGCUCGAUUCUCUCCUUACUAGUACUUCCCAUUCACCAAAACCAUACGAGUCCUCCAGUAUUUUGUACCUAUCUAGAUAGAUUUAUACGUUCUACCAUAUGAAGGAAUCAGUGCUCUAGUUUUUCUAGACUUUCUGCUAUAUGAAAGAAAAAACUUUUUUCCUGAAUUUCAGGGGGCUUAGUGUGGAUGUAGUCACCAAAUGACACAGAAAUAUAGGAUUAGGGGCUCGAUCAGAAAGUAAGCAAUUGUGAUUCAAAGUGAUCACAAUGCAAGAAGUUCUGGUAGGUGCACAAAAUGAGAGUUUUGCAUAGAUUUAUUUUUUCUAACUGCAGCAUUUUAAGAUCUAAUCAGACUCCACCAACACAUGACAACCCAAGGCUAUCCUACUAUUCUAUCAUGUUUUUGGAGUUUAAUAGGGCACUGUGCGUGGAUGUGUACAGAGGUCUAUAUGCCUACAAGAAGUUACAGAAUUACGGCCUAUAAAAAGAUGUAUUAGGUUUUCACUCUUCUGGCAUCGUGAAACAGAUGGAUUAAGUUAGCUGGUAGUAAGACAGAAUUUGCUUUAGUUCUUAUAAACUCAUCAAGAUUCUUGUUCAUGAUAAACAGAUCCAUGUAUCUAUGAGAAGUCCUAUGGACUGCAGCAGCCCACGAAUGGGAAUCUGAGUGCAGGGUUGGCAGAAUCAGAUGGCACCAUCCUAGUGACCAAUAAUGACACGGGAGCCAAAACGAAUGCAAGUUAUUUUCACAACGCAGGAUUUUGUCCAAAAUCAUGGGGGUUUGGUGAUUGUGAUCCUCGCUUCCUCUGUGACGAUGUGAAAUUACAUCUUCCCAACCAUGAAGUGGUUCAGAAGAAAUUCCGGUUUCUGCAGUUUGAUGGGAUUUGUAGCGAUUAUCCCAAGAAGAUAUCCUUUGGAAGAUAGAUAUUCUUUUGGAAGACAUCCUGGAAGAAUCUACAAUGCUCUUAUAUGUCAAGAGGUAUAAAGCACGAGCAACUGCGACCAGCUGCCCUCCCAUCCUGCUCCAUGGACACCAAAAAAUGCAGAACCUGAAACUUAGCAAAUGGAUGUAUUCCAGGGAUUUGGAUGAAGAAACUGAAUCCUUCUUCACUCUCUGAGAUACUUGAACAAAAUAAUACUGUAGGAAGGUUUUGCAGCGUAGCUGGGUGAAAUGAAGUUUGAGGAAAAUGGUAUGGCACACAUUCAAGGAUGGAUAAAGAAGGAAUGAGGAGAUGCUCUAUGAUGAAUAAAAGCACCAAAUCAGUUCACAAACACAAAAACUGGACCAUUUUCAAAAAAGUCAGGUGCACAGUGAGUGGAAGCUGUUCCAAGUCUCAUGCUUAUACAGCAGCCAGCAGAUGUUUUACAUCCAUGUCUGAGCAACCAGCUCUCUUCUCAUCAGUAUUAAGUGUUCAGCUGACAUUAAAGGGACAGACAGAAUUAAAACUGAGAGCUCAGAAACCUAAGCAGCUUUUCUGAAGUUUGCUAUGUCUACUAAUUAUUGCACAUGCUUCUUUUUUUCUCAAAAGUAUUAAUGAACAUUUUAAAAAUGAGAAGAAUCAUGAGAAAAGCAGCCACGGACACAUAAACAGCUCAAUAAUAACAACAUAUAAAUAUUCUCAAGCAAUAAAUGUGGAAAACACAUAUGAAAACAACAUGACAAAAUUUCAAGAGAUUAGUAUAAAAAAUACAGGAAAGAGACAGAAGUGGCUGCCAAAGGCCUUUGAAUACAGUCCUGUUAACCUCUUCCCCUUCCUGGAUUUUGUGACCUGCUUUGUAAAGUAGUUACAGAUUUGCAUACCAUGUCUGACAGCUCAAAAAAUCACACCACUUUUACAUAACAAAUAUAAGUAGAGAUUAUUUGGUAUAAUAUGUCAUAGAUCAAAGAGCAUUGGGGUCCAGGUACUCACUCUGACUCCACCUUGACUGCAUACUAGGGGGAAAGCCAGAUGUUUGUGCUCCUUUUCCUUCCGUGAGGCUCUUUUCCACCCGAGGAAGACCUAGACAGGUGAGAAAGGAGGGGCUGGUGAUGUACUUGAACAGGUCCCCCAAUGUGGGAUAUCAGUGACUAUUAAUACAGGAUUUACCUUCGAGUGCACCUGAACCACAGUUUUGAUAUCAAGGUCAAGAAAGAAUUGAAGCUCUACCCUAAAGGACUUAGAAUAUCUGUGCAAAUGUAAGUACAUGCUUAUUUUUAAGGAAUGAAAUGAACUACUCGCUUGAUUUAUUCAUCCAGAACUGAAUCAGUAGAUUGACUUUUAGAUUAAUAGGCUAACUUUUAAAUGACAAGAGUUUCACUGUAAGUAAUGUGUGGUUCAAAACUUCUUCUAUUUUAUAUUAAGGGGAAAAAAAGGCUGUGGCGAGGUGAGCGGCUCUGAAGGCAGAUAUGUUCCAGGGGUAACGGGUUGUAGUGCAAAAGGUGCUGAGUGGUUGGAGGGAAAACUCAACAAAUUUAAGAGACACUUUUGUAUCCUGCAAAUAAUGUAAUGUGGACUGUGUAUGAAUUGGAUUUAUUUGGAUACCAGUAUCUUAGUCAGACAUCAUAGUUUUUCUCUAGCCAGCUUAAUACAGCUAAGAAAUUUGUAACUGUAAUGCAGAUAAGUUUCUGAUGCUGAGUCCCACAUCCUAUAUACGUCCUUCAUUCUUCCAUCUGUCCUGGUAACAAAAACAUGGCAUCUGAACUCAUACCCUACUUUUGGUCAUUAGGUGUAUUUAGGGAAAAUAAUGUACAGACCAUUACUUUUCAGCACAAAGUUUCCAAAGCAUUUUCCAGUGCAAAUGCCUAACCCUACUUGCAAGACUUCUCCUUUGUAUUUACCUUAUCUCACAGUCCUUGGAAUCACUUGCGGAGUCCCAGAGAUGCUCAGAGCAUGGACAGAAAACUAGAAGCGUAGAGGGUUCCUCUCUUUCUUCCCAUAGUCAGCAGCUUAGGGACUUGCUGAGCUAAAGGUUGCACCCUUGCCACCAUAUGUAACCACUUCUGCCCUCUGUUCGUUUCUUUUCUUUCCUCUCCAUCACUUUCUUUGAACUCCACAUUCAUUCUCUGCUCUUUUUUCUCCCUUAUCAAAUAUGUCCUCAUCUUCAUUUUCAAGAACUUCCCUGGCAUGUUUGCACUGUGUUGUCACUCCUGAUUCUCUAUAAAGAUACUGAUUCCAGCCACCAGCUGGCCAUUUGUUGCAUUUCUCGAUGCAUCCCUUUGGUGCUUCCUCCCAUGCAGCCAUCACAUAUGGGAGAAGAAUGCCAUAAACAUUUAUGCAGUGAAUGCAUUGUGCUUUUCAAAGCUUUCCAGCAAAAAUCUUGAAACUCUUAUGCUGCAGGUAUGCGCAAAGUACUGUCACCCCCAUGCUGACCAAUAAUGACUUCUUGAUUUUCCUGUCUGCUUGUUUGUAUCCACCCGAGUGUUGUCUCGUACACUUGGAUUGUAAAGUUUUCUGGGACCCUGUCCUUUUUACAAGCUUUGCGCAAUUCCUAGUGCAAGAAGGUCUUGAUCAGUGAGUAGUGCUUCUGAGCGUGACAGGAAUUACAGACAAGGAUUCUGACAAAAAAUAGCAGUUCUCACUCUUCUUCUGAUACUCCAGUGCCUGUAUUUUACAAGCUUUUCGGUGUGUGAGUAGACAGGAAAGAUCACUUCCUCAGAACAGUAGGCAAAAAUUUAAGCAUAGCUUGGACACAAGGAACUUGAAAACAAGUUUCAAUCUGAAGGUGAUGCUUGGGUUAUAAAUCUGGCAAUCAGAAGAAUCGUGCUGUCAAUAAUGAUUACAAAGGCUGUAGGAGAGAGGAGAUCUUUUGUUGGGCAGACAGCAGAGCACAGUGAUAUAUAUGGGUUGCGAGAGAGGAAUCACUUCUCUUUCAAGCUCUCUUGCUUAAAAGUGAGAAAAAGUAGGAGAAGAUUCAUAGCACUGCAACUCGCCAGGCUGCUCUGUGUUUGCAUGAGCUGUACAUCAGUCACUUUGCCCAUCUGGGAAAUGUAAGAGGCUCAGAAGUCCAGGCCCAGAAAAUUCAUCUCCUAGAGGGACCUAAUAAUAACUAAUGUAAAGGUGCACUGUUAUGUACUGAAGAUGAUCCUGCAGUCCCUAAAAUCCAGCACUGACGGCUACUGUUUUUGUGGAGGAACGUUUCUGUGGCACGCUGCCAAGGGACAGUGAGAGUCUUUCAGAGGCAGAUUUCUGCCCACAGCAGAUGGAAGUAACAGCCUUUAGUUGCAAACAGAAGCCUAACAACAGCAAGAAAGGACACGACCGUGUAGAAACAGUGGCACAGACAAAGCUGAUGAUGCUUUUAAGGCAGAUGCGUACCACAAAUACCUUGUGAAGGGAAUGUGCAAUGAGCAGCGAGGGACCAAGAACCUUCUCAUGAAGUGCAAGUCAAUUAUCUAUGCAUAUAUCCUCCUAUGUUAGCCGAUGGCAUCUAUUCUUAAUAUCCGCUGUUAAGUAUUUGUGUGUUCACACAUCUUAUGUCGAACUGUGUAAACAAACUGUGUUUCCAGAAAUGCUCUGUACUCAUCUUAUGUUCUACUGUGAAAAUCCAUUAGUAGUUAAAUUCUUGUCAUCCUUGUGCAAUAUACCAAAAAGAUUUGUAACCUUGUUAGUGAACUCAGCAAAGAAAGAGAUAAAAAUAAGCUCUGAUAAUGUCACUGUGGGUCUGUUUGGGCUUUUUUUUUUUUUUUCCUUUUAGGUUGAGUAGAGGGUAAGAUAAAAGAGAAAUACAUGAAAUACAUGAAAGUGCCCUUUCUCUUGUAAACCAGUGAGCUAUAGAUGUUAGUGCUGGAGCUAUAAAAUUUGUUUUUAACCUUCCCUACAUGUUCCAUAUAUACCCCAUACGUAUAAAGUGCUAGGGUUGUCAUGCCACAUCUUUUCAAUUAACAGUGUUCACUGCAGACAUAUCUGGGCACUCUUGUCGAAGAGCCCCAAGUCCUACAGCUCCUGUCCACAGCCUCACCAUAAAGACUAUGCCCAUGUUAGUAAGGCUGGCAGAGGGACUCUGAACAGAUGAAGUUCUUGGGCUUCCCAGGAGCAGCCGAUGCCAUGUUUACGUCCUUCAUGUGUCUACCAUGUGAAACAAGCAAGUAUAUGAGCAGCUUUUGGGACAUUCAAGGAGGCUUGCACUGAAGGAUGCAUUACACUCAGCUGUCCCAACCAUCUGGAGUGUUUCUGUGUGGGCAAACAGGUUCGUAGUUUCCCCCUGCCAACACAGUCACCAGAGAGAUGCGUGUGGUUCCCCUGCCUUCGGGGAACUCUAGGCAGCUGGGUAUGUGCCAGAUAGACUUGCCAAAGUUUAAGAAGUACCUUAGUGGGAGCAGGAGUGGGUCUUUGACUGACUGGCCUGGUAGGUGUCUAAUUUAGGAUGAGCUCGGUAGCUGUCCAGGCCCCAGUAACUCUAAGGACUUGGUCUCCAUUGCUUGAAAUGGAAGUUUAGGUAUGUGGCUCACAGGCAGUUGCCUACGUUUAAUAGCUAAAUUUAGAUGUCUACAAUCUGGAACUGAAUUACACUCCAUAUUUCCCGUUACAGCUCAUGACCUGGCAAAAAUACUCAGCCAGAAGUAUCUUCUGAAACUCUUUGACCUCCUUCAUUUCCACUCUUUCCACUACUCUGAAACAGUCCUCACACACCUCCACAAUUAGGUCAUCUUUGUCCUUUGUCACUUUGACCUCCAAUUCUGAGUCUUUUUACUCAUACUGAACAGUCUCGCUGCCUUUUUGUAACAGACAUGAGACUUUGGAAGCCCAGAAAAAGCAAAAAUUGGAUCUCCAGACUCUGAUACAUUAAUCUAUGAAUAUACAUGAGAUGUUCAUAGGUUAAUGUAUCAAUAGGUGUCCUUUCCAUGUCUUUGAGAUCCUAGAAUCACUGGAGGGUAGUUAAGAUUAAUCUUAUGGCUGGUAAACAAGCUUUGUGCCCUCAAGAAAAUGACUAUACUAGUGGAUUCUGGCUCAACAGGACAAAAAGCAAGGAGGGAGAAGGGCACCUCCGAACAGGGUCAAUGAAAGACAUGCAGAAGCACACACUUGACAGAAGAACUAAUAACCGCAAGCAUCUGUUAAACCUGAUAAAGAGUAUUUUUUCCAUCAAAUAUUUACCAUCCUGAUAUUACUCUGUAAUGUUUUUGUCUUGAAACAAUGUGAUGCUUUUGAAAGGCAACUGAGUCACUUGCGUAAUCACCAGGAACUGCAACAGGUCAGCAGCUUUAAUAAACUCAGCCUAAGAGGGAGGGAAGUAGGUCCCCCCUCUGAGAAAGGAAAGACCUGAGGCCUCAGCCUUGACCCACAGGUAUGAGAAGGAUAGUUAAGCCCAAACCUCCGGCACUUCUUUUUCCUUGGUGAAUUUGAUAAAAGUGCUUUUCAACCUGAUAAACACAGGGUGCAUUAAGACUGCGCGUGCACAGCUGCAAAUGAAAGGCAUCACAUUUUAUCUCAAAAGAACGGCAUUCAGUUUGCUGAUUUUCCUAACCAGCAAACUCCUGUCUGCUCUGAAGCAUUAUAAAAGAGCUCUUCCAGAAAAAAACCAAGAGUGAUUAAUAUUUAAUUCCCAAUGCUUUCCCUCCCCGUUACACAGUUUCUUUGUAGAGAAGCAGUUCUGAAUGCCUGAGCAGAAGGGGCAGCCUGUUAAAUCCUUUUUAGGCUGUUACAACCUUAAAAUGUGCCGCUUUGGUUGCCAGAAUAGAGGCAGGACCAGUUACUAGAAGCCUCAGGGAGGUGACUUUUUGUCUAUGCAAGGGAAAUCUUUCUGCUGCUUGUGACAGAUGAACUGAUAAGUGGCUGGAUGGGGACUGCGAGCAACAGCAAUAGAAGGUGGACGCUUGCCAUGCCAAUAUAUCUCAGAGACCAGAUGGAGUUUUUACUGAGCAAAAUGUAUAUUUUA